Molecule: ribosomal RNA, 374 nt
Filed under: uncultured bacterium
Lineage: Bacteria
Description: bacterial SSU rRNA
Rfam family: Bacterial small subunit ribosomal RNA
Source: RNAcentral
AAGGUUCUAUGGAUCGUAAACCUCUUUUAUAAGGGAAUAAAGUGCGGGACGUGUCCCGUUUUGUAUGUACCUUAUGAAUAAGGAUCGGCUAACUCCGUGCCAGCAGCCGCGGUAAUACGGAGGAUCCGAGCGUUAUCCGGAUUUAUUGGGUUUAAAGGGUGCGUAGGCGGCCUUUUAAGUCAGCGGUGAAAGUCUGUGGCUCAACCAUAGAAUUGCCGUUGAAACUGGGAGGCUUGAGUAUGUUUGAGGCAGGCGGAAUGCGUGGUGUAGCGGUGAAAUGCUUAGAUAUCACGCAGAACCCCGAUGGCGAAGGCAGCCUGCCAAGCCAUGACUGACGCUGAUGCACGAAAGCGUGGGGAUCAAACAGCAUUAGA